RNAcentral lists this ribosomal RNA (253 nucleotides) under uncultured bacterium. RNAcentral describes it as "partial 16S ribosomal RNA". It matches the Rfam family "Bacterial small subunit ribosomal RNA", at positions 524 to 776 of the family's 1533-position model. The record is from RNAcentral.
GACGAACCGUGCAAACGUUGUUCGGAAUCACUGGGCUUAAAGGGCGCGUAGGCGGCAGACCAAGUCCGGGGUGAAAUCUUUCGGCUUAACCGGAAAAGGGCCUUGGAUACUGGUUUGCUAGAGGGAGGUAGGGGUCUGUGGAACUUCUGGUGGAGCGGUGAAAUGCGUUGAUAUCAGAAGGAACGCCGGUGGCGAAAGCGACGGACUGGAUCUCUUCUGACGCUGAGGCGCGAAAGCCAGGGGAGCAAACGGG